AGUUAAUACACACCGGAAACCACGCGCAUACACGCCCGUUAAUGGGCUUAGGUAUUAGCGAGUCCUAACGAUGCAUACAAAUGUGCUCUGUGCUCUGUAGGCCCCUCAAGAUUUAUGGGCCUUGAGCUCUCUGAAGCUGUAAACAAGGAGAAAAAAAGAGAAAGCGAGAGAGACUGGGGGAAAGAGACAGAGGCCUGAAUCGCCCCUCCAGAUUGUGGGAGAGAAGGGAUUUUUAUAUUUUUUCCUUGCCUUAGGAGCUCGGUGCGUGUGGGUUUUCGCAUUGGUCUGGGGGUGGUAUGCUGCGUGAAUGCUGGUGUGCGUGGGCAGCGUGUGGUUUGUGUGGUGGGGUAUGAGCACCUCUGCCUCCUUUGAGUUGCCGUGCAAGGGCCUAAACAUAGCAGGCAUUUGUGGACAUAUAUUUGUGUGUGCACUGUGUUAGGUGUGAGUGUCUGCCUGCCCCACGCACGUGUGACAAGGAGGCCUCCCUCUGGGCCAGGCUGCUGUCCCCUGAACCUGGUGAACAAAUCUCUAACAGCAAUCAUAAUAACAAUAAAUAACAUAACUAAUAAAAACAGUAGUUAACAGUCCCUCCCUAGUAGGAUAACAAUAAAAUGUCAGGGGAGGCGUUUUGAGGAGCCAGUGAAGGAGUCACCAUCUCAGAAUCUAAAGGGAAGACUGGAAAGGAAGGAAGUUAGCUUCUUUAAAUGCCUUUGAGGGGCUGGGGUUGGGAAUCCCCUCCCCAGACUGGGUUCUUGGCCCACAGGAGGGGAGGAAAGCCAGGAGGCCACUUUUCUGCUGCUUUUUCUAUGGCGUUUACUCCACAUAUGGGGUGGUUAGUAGCUUUGGGGGCUCUCUGAGAACCCCUGUUUUAAAGAGGAGGCCAAAUGUGCCGAGUCAGGCCGAGGGGCAAAGAAGGACGGGGCGAUGACCACAGUCUCCGGUCCUGGCCGCCGGGCGCCGAAGUGCCCGAGGACGAGCCGCGGGGCCGGGGAGAAAGCAGAAAAAUAUUUAUGGCCGCCCGCCCGGGAGUGAGGAGAGCGGGCGAGUGAGGCUGGGGCUCCUGCAAGUGAAAGUUCCUUUCCUGGAGUCUUUUUAAAAAGAAAGGAGAGGUUGAGGCGCCUUGAAUUUUCCUCCUGGAGAUUAGAGCCCAGCGGAUUUCUGUAAAGGAAGCGAAGACCGAGGUCCGGGUUCCUGCAGUGUCAGCCUCCUUCUCUCCAGCGGUGACCCAUUUGGUCUGAAAAGAGAUGCAGAGAUACGGGACCCACUGAGUCACCUUUUUCAAACCCUGCAGGCCUCUCUACUUGCCCAGUUCUCACCCACCAGGACACUGACGGAAGGGGCUUCUGGGCUGCCCCCCACCCACUCCUGCUUGGCUUCCCAAAGUCCAGCGACCUCCAACCCUCCUUGGGGAAAAAAUACCUGUACCCAGGCACCUUAGCCCCCUGUGCUAUGUGACCGGGCUCCCUCAGGAAUAUUGUACAAAGAAGAAGAAAGAACAGCUCACUCGGGAGCCGUGUUUACAUCUAGUUGUACUGAUCCAUCCACAUCUGGAGGGUUUAUUUAUAACUCCUUCUAUAACUCUUUCUAUUCAGAGGCACUGGUGGCUCUAUUGACAGACUGAUGCCUACAAAAUAUUGCUCUAUCUCUAACCAUACCUAAAUGUUCUGUGGUUGUAUUUACAGAUUUAUGCUUGAGGAAAAUAUAAUUAUUUCCAUUGUAUUUGUGCAUAUACAAUAGUUAUAGGAGCAGAUUUAUAUAUGGGAAAAUAUAUGACUCUCUUACAGCCAUCCAGUUUUAUGGACAUUUGAUAUCCUGACAGAUUUAUAUCUCUGAGCAGCUGUAUAGAUAAAUGUAUAUCAUUAGAAUUAUGUAUCAGGAGAUAUAUACUUAUUGAUUGUGAUAUAGAGUAGUUAGAGCAUUCACUUGCAGCCAUAUAUGACUAUGGAGAUAUUUCUAUAUUAUUAUCACUAUAUGUAGGCAUAUCUAUUUAUAACCACAUAGUUAUAAAAAUAGACAUAAGUAAUUAUAGUCCUAUAUGUACAUGCUGCUAUCUCUCUCUAGAGUUAUAGACACUUUUGAGUAUAACUCUAUAGAGAUCCGUAUGUAUAUAAGGUGUAAUUAUCUCGCGAUGUGUGCGCAUUGGGAUUCAGGCCAGUGUAUCUCUGAACAGACAUAUUUAUGUGUAGGGCCCCCGGGAGAGACUUGUUCAUGGAGAUAACUGCAGAGGGCCCACUGAAAAACUGUAUCUGGCCAUCCAGGAAACUAGCUCGCAGAGUUCUUUACUCAGGGAGAAAUGGAGUUACAAAAGGGUAAAUAGCGCAUGGGAAGCAUCCCAGAGGGGAGACCAACGGAGGGUGACUGGGGCUUCCCUGCAAUAGAGGACCGAGAAGGGAAAGCGGUAAACACGGUAUGUCAGAAGGCAUCGGCGGUUUUCUUGAGGUGCUGGCACAGACAGGUGUGAACUAGGGACUUACAGAAGGAAGACCGUGACGCUCUUACUGCCCCGCCUGGAGGUGCCCUUGGGCUUCGGUUUGGCUUUUAGUGCACUAAAGGUAGGAGGGAGUGGUCCUCCCCACCCAUUCCUAGGAUGUUUCU
RNAcentral lists this long non-coding RNA (2595 nucleotides) under Heterocephalus glaber (naked mole-rat). RNAcentral describes it as "lncRNA (ENSHGLG00000050230.1)". The record is from RNAcentral. Lineage: Eukaryota; Metazoa; Chordata; Mammalia; Rodentia; Bathyergidae.